This 301-nucleotide ribosomal RNA is filed under the name uncultured bacterium. RNAcentral's name for it is "partial 16S ribosomal RNA". It matches the Rfam family "Bacterial small subunit ribosomal RNA", at positions 509 to 807 of the family's 1533-position model. The record is from RNAcentral.
CAGUAGCCGCGGGAAUACGGAGGGGGCUAGCGUUGUUCGGAAUUACUGGGCGUAAAGCGCACGUAGGCGGCUUUGUAAGUCAGAGGUGAAAGCCCGGGGCUCAACCCCGGAAUUGCCUUUGAGACUGCAUCGCUUGAAUCCAGGAGAGGUGAGUGGAAUUCCGAGUGUAGAGGUGAAAUUCGUAGAUAUUCGGAAGAACACCAGUGGCGAAGGCGGCUCACUGGACUGGUAUUGACGCUGAGGUGCGAAAGCGUGGGGAGCAAACAGGAUUAGAUACCCCAGUAGUCCCUGUCUCUUAUAC